Apis laboriosa (Himalayan honeybee) is the source of this 840-nucleotide long non-coding RNA. RefSeq lists it as uncharacterized. The record is from RefSeq and is a predicted model, not a curated record. The transcript is spliced from 4 exons. NCBI's taxonomy places the organism in Eukaryota, Metazoa, Arthropoda, Insecta, Hymenoptera, Apidae.
CGCUCCAGACGAAGUUCAUGCUCAACGGAUCUACCGUUGAAAAUUUGUAGAUACUCAGGCACAAAACCACCGAGCUUAUGGAGAACUGUAGAAAAAUCAUGUACUGGAACACGGUGUUCACCGUUCGGACAAAUCUGUAAUGAUCCUUUCUGGACACGUUGCUGUUUCUUGUUACCGUCAACAGGGAGGACAGAUUUUGUACUCGAUGACAAAAUAUGUCAAACUGCACGCCAGCUUGUAUCAUCAAUCCGGCAAUCAGGGUCUCGUUGCCCACGCUCGCGUUCGCACAGAUCAACAGUCCAACUGUUUGAUACAACAGGGAUAUCGUGUACAAUUCUGACGAGGAUAAGUCGUAUGGUAUCCAAUCGGAUACGGGAACAAGUUGGCCACUUUGAGAGAAACACCUAGGACCGAGAUGCAGAGGGAAAAUUUUUCGCUCAUUGUCUUCAAGUUUUUGCUGAUCAACGAAUCCACGCAAGUACAGAACGUGAUAAAAUAUAAGAGGAAAAUCAUGAAUGCCGAGUAAACGUUGUACAGGUGAUAUUUGUACGAGGAAGCCGGCCAUUUUGUUGGCCUCCAAUAGCCACCGAGACAGAAGGUUGCGGCGCAUUGAUGAGAAUUAAUCGACGAACGAGAAAUUGAAAUUCGUAAGUAAUAAAAAAAAGAUAUUAUUUUUUAUGAUAAUUAAAAAAAAUAUUAUAAAAAAAUUAUAAUUAAUAUUAUAAAAAAAGAUAUUAUUUUUUAUAAUAUUUUAUGAACAAUUUUGUAAAACAGAAAGCGCAAAUUAUUAAUGAGAAAGAUAUUUUUUAUUACGAAUUAUAGAUUAUAAUUUACAUUGGU